RNAcentral lists this ribosomal RNA (259 nucleotides) under uncultured bacterium. RNAcentral's name for it is "partial 16S ribosomal RNA". It matches the Rfam family "Bacterial small subunit ribosomal RNA", at positions 526 to 779 of the family's 1533-position model. The record is from RNAcentral.
CGAAGGGGCGUAGCGUUGCUCGGAAUUACUGGGCGGUAAAGGGAAGCGUAGGCGGACAUUUAAGUCAGGGGUGGAAAUCCCGGGGCGUCAACCUCGGAAUUGCCUUUGAUACUGGGUGUCUUGAGUAUGAGAGAGGUGUGUGGAACUCCGAGUGUAGAGGUGAAAUUCGUAGAUAUUCGGAAGAACACCAGUGGCGAAGGCGACACACUGGCUCAUUACUGACGCUGAGGCUCGAAAGCGUGGGGGAGCAAACAGGAUU